GACGAACGCUGGCGGCGUGCUUAACACAUGCAAGUCGAACGGAAAGGCCCUGCUUUUGUGGGGUGCUCGAGUGGCGAGCGGGUGAGUAACACGUGAGUAACCUGCCCUUGACUUUGGGAUAACUUCGGGAAACUGGGGCUAAUACCGGAUAGGAGCUCCUGCUGCAUGGUGGGGGUUGGAAAGUUUCGGCGGUUGGGGAUGGACUCGCGGCUUAUCAGCUUGUUGGUGGGGUAGUGGCUUACCAAGGCUUUGACGGGUAGCCGGCCUGAGAGGGUGACCGGCCACAUUGGGACUGAGAUACGGCCCAGACUCCUACGGGAGGCAGCAGUGGGGAAUAUUGCACAAUGGGCGGAAGCCUGAUGCAGCAACGCCGCGUGCGGGAUGACGGCCUUCGGGUUGUAAACCGCUUUCGCCUGUGACGAAGCGUGAGUGACGGUAAUGGGUAAAGAAGCACCGGCUAACUACGUG
Molecule: ribosomal RNA, 468 nt
Filed under: uncultured bacterium
Lineage: Bacteria
Description: partial 16S ribosomal RNA
Rfam family: Bacterial small subunit ribosomal RNA
Source: RNAcentral